Long non-coding RNA from Anguilla anguilla (European eel), 1028 nucleotides. RefSeq lists it as uncharacterized. Lineage: Eukaryota; Metazoa; Chordata; Actinopteri; Anguilliformes; Anguillidae. The record is from RefSeq and is a predicted model, not a curated record. The transcript has 5 exons.
UAUUCAGAAUUCUGCAUGUUUUGUGACACUAAGUACAUAGAGGUACUUCAGCAUUUGAGCAUCAGGUGGAUCAGUUUGGAUCUGGCUGUCAACCCCAUACUCCGCCUCUACAAGGCCCUGACGAGCUAAUUCAGAUCCACUGAGGCAGCACCCAUGUACCUAUCUACUCCAUGGGCAGGUGAGGGCAUUCAUCCGAAAGCCGAUGUCAGAAUUCUUGAAGCCUGCAGCUUUCAGAACAACAAGUUCGGAGAGUGUUGAUUUCAGGAUCAGGAAAACCAACUAGCAGAUCUCCAACUUGGUAUUGGACUGACUACAAAGGCCACGUGAGAUUCCCUCGGGUGACGUCACCAAAUUCUACAAGGCAGCAAGAGGCUUCCUGCUAAGGUCUACAGAAUAUGCAUUGAAAAAGCUACUGCUGAAUGACCUCCUGCUGCCACAUGCUGAGUUUGUGGACCUUAGGCAGAGACAAGACUCGCAUGUGGAUGAUGUGCUGUACUUUGUCCAAAGAUACAAUCACCUUCUUCCUUUUGAGGACCCAAGUGACCAGGAUAGGAUUUCAGAUGAGUUUCUGGAGUACCAGAUGCUGGAGGAAACGGACAUACCUGACACCAUCUGGAAAAGUGCCCUGGUGAGUGUUGGAGAGGAAGACCAAUUCCAUCGUAUGGACAUGGUGUGGGCACAUUUGACUAUGUGGAAGAGCCGAAUAACCGGUAAAGAACAGUUCCCCAGACUUGGGAAGGUGGCACAGCUUGUUCUAUGCCUACUUCACUCUAAUGCGGAUGCAGAACGAGUCUUCUCAACAAUUGGCCUGAACAAAACAGAGUGUAGAAACAGACUUGCAGUAGAUGGGAUGCUGUCGUUCAUUAUGUGCAUCAAAGGUAAUCAGAUCGAACCACCGGUAGAAAUGAUAAUCAAGUCCAAGUCUGCUGCUUAUAGUUGUACUAGGCCAAAAUAGGCCCUUGUGUGUGUGUGUGUGUGAGCGAAUGUGAGCGAGUGUGUGUGUGAGCGAGUGUGUAGGUGAGAGAAUG